UACGUAGGGGGCAAGCGUUGUCCGGAAUCAUUGGGCGUAAAGAGCGUGUAGGCGGCCCGGUCAGUCCGCCGUGAAAGCCCAGGGCUCAACCCUGGGAUGCCGGUGGAAACUGCCGGGCUAGAGUCCGGAAGAGGCGAGUGGAAUUCCUGGUGUAGCGGUGAAAUGCGCAGAUAUCAGGAGGAACACCAAUGGCGAAGGCAGCUCGCUGGGACGGUACUGACGCUGAGACGCGAAAGCGUGGGGAGCAAACAGG
RNAcentral lists this ribosomal RNA (253 nucleotides) under uncultured bacterium. Its description in RNAcentral is "partial 16S ribosomal RNA". It matches the Rfam family "Bacterial small subunit ribosomal RNA", at positions 524 to 776 of the family's 1533-position model. The record is from RNAcentral.